Molecule: non-coding RNA, 1782 nt
Organism: Vicugna pacos (alpaca)
Lineage: Eukaryota; Metazoa; Chordata; Mammalia; Artiodactyla; Camelidae
Source: RefSeq, a predicted model, not a curated record
UCCCCUCCUGCUCCUUUCCACUUUCCAGCACUCAGGAGUAAUCACAAUGUGAUUUCUAACACCGAAGAUCAGGGCUUCGGUCCUUGCAUUGUAUACAGAUGGAGUCAUACAUUGUAUGUUCUUUCACAGCGGACUGCCUUUGCCCUCCAUUGACGGUGAGGUUCAUCCAUGGUGUGGUGUGGAUGGUAGAAUUCUAAGACAGUCUCCAAGAUUCCUCAUCCUCUCUUGGACUCACAUCCUCUCCCAGAUGUCUUGUUCAUCUAGGUGCUGAUGUAAAGGCAUUUUGCAGAUGUCACUGAGGCCCAAAUCAGUUGGCUUUAAGAGAUGGAGAUUGUUCUCAGUGGGCCUGAUCACAUGAGCCAUUAACAAGGAUGGGGCUCUUCCUGGAGAAAGAGGAAUGAAGCGUGAGCGGGACUGACACAAGGGAAAUUCCUCAUGGUUGGUUUUGAAGACCGAAGGUUCCACAUGGCAAAGGAUGCUGAUGGCCUCUAGGAGCUGGGAUUGGCCCCUGGCUGACAAGCAGCAAGGAAAUGGGGCCCACAGUCCUCCAGUUACAAAAAGGAGCCUCAGUUCUGCCAAUAACCCGAAUGAGCUUGGAAGAGGUUCUUGAGCUCCAGCACCUGCACCUGAACUUCAGCCUGUGAAGCCCUCAGCAGAGAACCCAGCUGCCCCAGGCCCAGAUUUAAGACUUACACCUCUGUGAGCCGGUCAGUGCAUCAGUUAAGGUCUUUGGACUAAAACAACAGGAAACAGAAAUGUAUUAUCCUACAUAUCAGAACAACUAGAGCUCUUCUGCCGCCAGUAGCCUACUCUGCUGUGUUAACGCCCCAAGGGCUGGAGACCCCGUUCUCCAGUGUAUUGGCCACUUCCUGGCUUCCUUCCUACUUCGUUCAGACCCCAUGGCUCUCCCCACUGCUGGAGAAAACAACACAGUCGUCCUGACAGGCAGCGGUGUGGACUUGUGGCUUCCGGCCCCACUGAACCCCUACACUCUGGACAAGGCCAAGUCCCUCUCUUUUGCAUGCCUCAUGGCAAUUCUUUCAAGUAUUUGAUCACUCGCCUGAGACACUCUUUCCACCCCUAUUCCUGUCAGAAGGUCUUGUCUCCUGUCCUCCCUCUCAUCUGUCCCUCUCAUGCCUCUGAAGCUGCUCCAGCUCCAACCAGGGGAUGACAGCCACCCAGGCGACAGCAGACCUGCUCUUUCCCUGAGCCGCACAACAGCGCUCAGCACACAUUCAGUGGAAACAAAUGGUGAGCGUGAAGGCACUGGUAACUGACGGCUCAAUCUGGGCACGUGCUCUCGAGAUGCACUGUAACCAGAGCCCCCAGUGCCUCAUCCAUUGGAGGCCCCAGGCAGGCUGGCCGGGGCCAUCUCAGGGACAGGGCCCCCCAGCACCCUUCAGUACCUCCUCUCAGCCCCCGAUGGGCCUCGGAAUGGAGAGAGCUCCCCCUGCAGGAAGCUCAGCAUCGGGGUCCAUCAGCCCCCUCCACCAGGAUGCUUAGGGCAGCCCCCAGGCUCAGUCCCCGCUGGCAGGUGGGCACAGGGCACACCAUCCACCUCACAAAAGAGGGAAAGAACCUCGAGGGAGAAGGCCACAUUCAGGGGAUGGUGUCAUAGUCUUACAAAAAACCUGCCCCCUUUGCAUUCUGACUGCUGGUAAGGGGCAGUCAGGGUGCUGACGUCCCUGGGUUUAGGGACUGACUGAGAUCACCACCCCACUCUUCAGCAAGCAGAGAGGAAGUGAGAGGAGAGCUGGCAGUCAAAGCCCUCUGCUCCCCCCU